RNAcentral lists this ribosomal RNA (112 nucleotides) under Escherichia coli. The record is from RNAcentral. Lineage: Bacteria; Pseudomonadati; Pseudomonadota; Gammaproteobacteria; Enterobacterales; Enterobacteriaceae. RNAcentral also lists the same sequence under 1 other name.
GCGGCCUUAGCGCGGUGGUCCCACCUGACCCCAUGCCGAACUCAGAAGUGAAACGCCGUAGCGCCGAUGGUAGUGUGGGGUCUCCCCAUGCGAGAGUAGGGAACUGCCAGGU